AUGCUGUCGAACGACCAGAACCAUGUCUGGUAGUGGCGUACUGCUCAGUAACACGCUUGCUAACCUACCCUCAGGACGGGGGCAACCCCGAGAAAUUGGGGCUAAUCCCCGAUAGGUGUGGUGUCCUGGAACGGUAUCACGCCUAAAGGUCCCAACAGCAUGUUGUUGUUACGCCUAAGGAUGGGGCUGCGGCCGAUCAGGCAGUUGGUGAGGUAAUGGCUCACCAAACCUUUGACCGGUACGGGCCAUGAGAGUGGUAGCCCGGAGAUGGAUACUGAGACAAGGAUCCAGGCCCUACGGGGCGCAGCAGGCGCGAAACCUCCUCAAUGCACUGAAGUGUGAAGGGGUUACCUCGAGUGCCGNCUGAAGAAGGCGGCUUUUCCUNGGUCUAAAAAGCCUNGNGAAUAANCGGGGGGGCA
This 419-nucleotide ribosomal RNA is filed under the name uncultured crenarchaeote. RNAcentral describes it as "bacterial SSU rRNA". It matches the Rfam family "Archaeal small subunit ribosomal RNA", at positions 51 to 449 of the family's 1478-position model. The record is from RNAcentral. Lineage: Archaea; Thermoproteati; Thermoproteota.